RNAcentral lists this ribosomal RNA (1507 nucleotides) under Helicobacter pylori HPAG1. Its description in RNAcentral is "16S ribosomal RNA". It matches the Rfam family "Bacterial small subunit ribosomal RNA". The record is from RNAcentral. Lineage: Bacteria; Pseudomonadati; Campylobacterota; Epsilonproteobacteria; Campylobacterales; Helicobacteraceae.
CUUUUAUGGAGAGUUUGAUCCUGGCUCAGAGUGAACGCUGGCGGCGUGCCUAAUACAUGCAAGUCGAACGAUGAAGCUUCUAGCUUGCUAGAAUGCUGAUUAGUGGCGCACGGGUGAGUAACGCAUAGGUCAUGUGCCUCUUAGUUUGGGAUAGCCAUUGGAAACGAUGAUUAAUACCAGAUACUCCCUACGGGGGAAAGAUUUAUCGCUAAGAGAUCAGCCUAUGUCCUAUCAGCUUGUUGGUAAGGUAAUGGCUUACCAAGGCUAUGACGGGUAUCCGGCCUGAGAGGGUGAACGGACACACUGGAACUGAGACACGGUCCAGACUCCUACGGGAGGCAGCAGUAGGGAAUAUUGCUCAAUGGGGGAAACCCUGAAGCAGCAACGCCGCGUGGAGGAUGAAGGUUUUAGGAUUGUAAACUCCUUUUGUUAGAGAAGAUAAUGACGGUAUCUAACGAAUAAGCACCGGCUAACUCCGUGCCAGCAGCCGCGGUAAUACGGAGGGUGCAAGCGUUACUCGGAAUCACUGGGCGUAAAGAGCGCGUAGGCGGGAUAGUCAGUCAGGUGUGAAAUCCUAUGGCUUAACCAUAGAACUGCAUUUGAAACUACUAUUCUAGAGUGUGGGAGAGGUAGGUGGAAUUCUUGGUGUAGGGGUAAAAUCCGUAGAGAUCAAGAGGAAUACUCAUUGCGAAGGCGACCUGCUGGAACAUUACUGACGCUGAUUGCGCGAAAGCGUGGGGAGCAAACAGGAUUAGAUACCCUGGUAGUCCACGCCCUAAACGAUGGAUGCUAGUUGUUGGAGGGCUAGUCUCUCCAGUAAUGCAGCUAACGCAUUAAGCAUCCCGCCUGGGGAGUACGGUCGCAAGAUUAAAACUCAAAGGAAUAGACGGGGACCCGCACAAGCGGUGGAGCAUGUGGUUUAAUUCGAAGAUACACGAAGAACCUUACCUAGGCUUGACAUUGAGAGAAUCCGCUAGAAAUAGUGGAGUGUCUAGCUUGCUAGACCUUGAAAACAGGUGCUGCACGGCUGUCGUCAGCUCGUGUCGUGAGAUGUUGGGUUAAGUCCCGCAACGAGCGCAACCCCCUUUCUUAGUUGCUAACAGGUUAUGCUGAGAACUCUAAGGAUACUGCCUCCGUAAGGAGGAGGAAGGUGGGGACGACGUCAAGUCAUCAUGGCCCUUACGCCUAGGGCUACACACGUGCUACAAUGGGGUGCACAAAGAGAAGCAAUACUGCGAAGUGGAGCCAAUCUUCAAAACACCUCUCAGUUCGGAUUGUAGGCUGCAACUCGCCUGCAUGAAGCUGGAAUCGCUAGUAAUCGCAAAUCAGCCAUGUUGCGGUGAAUACGUUCCCGGGUCUUGUACUCACCGCCCGUCACACCAUGGGAGUUGUGUUUGCCUUAAGUCAGGAUGCUAAAUUGGCUACUGCCCACGGCACACACAGCGACUGGGGUGAAGUCGUAACAAGGUAACCGUAGGUGAACCUGCGGUUGGAUCACCUCCUUUCU